RNAcentral lists this ribosomal RNA (254 nucleotides) under uncultured bacterium. Its description in RNAcentral is "partial 16S ribosomal RNA". It matches the Rfam family "Bacterial small subunit ribosomal RNA", at positions 524 to 776 of the family's 1533-position model. The record is from RNAcentral.
GACGUAGGGCGCGAGCGUUGUCCGGAUUUAUUGGGCGUAAAGAGCUCGUAGGCGGCUUGUCGCGUCGACUGUGAAAACCCGCGGCUCAACCGUGUGGUCUGCAGUCGAUACGGGCAGGCUAGAGUUCGGUAGGGGAGACUGGAAUUCCUGGUGUAGCGGUGAAAUGCGCAGAUAUCAGGAGGAACACCGGUGGCGAAGGCGGCAUCCUGGACCGGUAUUGACGCUGAGGCGCGAAAGCUAGGGGAGCAAACGGG